RNAcentral lists this unclassified non-coding RNA (200 nucleotides) under soil metagenome. RNAcentral describes it as "partial contains internal transcribed spacer 2 and large subunit ribosomal RNA". The record is from RNAcentral.
AUUCGAGCGUCAUUACAACCCUCAAGCUAUGCUUGGUAUUCGGUCCUACCUGCUAGGCAGGCCGUAAAAUCAGUGGCGGUGCUAUUUGGCUCCAGGCGCAGUAAAUUACCUCGCCUUGGAUGUCUGAUAUGUGCCUGCCAGCAACCACAAUUUUUUAACAGGUUGACCUCGGAUUAGGUAGGGAUACCCGCUGAACUUAA